Molecule: unclassified non-coding RNA, 325 nt
Organism: Fukomys damarensis (Damara mole-rat)
Lineage: Eukaryota; Metazoa; Chordata; Mammalia; Rodentia; Bathyergidae
Gene: 7SK
Rfam family: 7SK RNA
About the family: 7SK was discovered as an abundant small nuclear RNA in the mid-70s but a possible function has only recently been suggested.
Source: Ensembl
GGAUGUGAGGGUAAUCUGGCUACAACAUCUGUCACCCCAUUGAUCUUGAUUAACAGGAUUGAUUUGGCUGAUCUGGCUGGCUAGGCCCCUUCCUCUUUUACCAUUCCAUGCGUGUCCCUCCUGAAGCUGCAUGCUUGGUCAAAGAGGACGACCACUUCCAAUAGAGGAGGACCGUUUCUUCAGUCUAGGGUAUACGAGUAGCUGCACUCUCCUGCUAGAACUUCCAAAUAAAUUCUCAAACAUGAACAUACCACUCAGGUAUACACAUUCACAACUGUUCUACCAACAAAACUGGGCACAGAGAUUCCUCCUUAUGUUUUCCUUU